Molecule: ribosomal RNA, 253 nt
Filed under: uncultured Candidatus Xiphinematobacter sp.
Lineage: Bacteria; Pseudomonadati; Verrucomicrobiota; Spartobacteria
Description: partial 16S ribosomal RNA
Rfam family: Bacterial small subunit ribosomal RNA
Source: RNAcentral
UACAGAGGUCUCGAGCGUUGUUCGGAUUCAUUGGGCGUAAAGGGUGCGUAGGCGGUUGGGUAAGUCAGACGUGAAAUUCCAGGGCUCAACCCUGAAACUGCGUUUGAUACUGCCUGACUAGAGUACUGGAGAGGAGACUGGAAUUCACGGUGUAGCAGUGAAAUGCGUAGAUAUCGUGAGGAAGACCAGUGGCGAAGGCGAGUCUCUGGACAGUAACUGACGCUGAGGCACGAAGGCUAGGGGAGCAAACGGG